UAGAACCCUAUAUUCGAAAGCAUGAUCAGA
Molecule: non-coding RNA, 30 nt
Filed under: Rattus norvegicus (Norway rat)
Lineage: Eukaryota; Metazoa; Chordata; Mammalia; Rodentia; Muridae
Source: RNAcentral